CACGUAGGGCGCAAGCGUUGUCCGGCAUUAUUGGGCGGAAAGAGCUCGUAGGUGGUUUGUCGCGUUGUCCGUGAAAACUCACAGCUUAACUGUGGGCGUGCGGGCGAUACGGGCAGACUGGAGUACUGCAGGGGAGACUGGAAUUCCUGGUGUAGCGGUGGAAUGCGCAGAUAUCAGGAGGAACACCGGUGGCGAAGGCGGGUCUCUGGGCAGUAACUGACGCUGAGGAGCGAAAGCGUGGGGAGCGAACAGG
Molecule: ribosomal RNA, 253 nt
Filed under: uncultured bacterium
Lineage: Bacteria
Description: partial 16S ribosomal RNA
Rfam family: Bacterial small subunit ribosomal RNA
Source: RNAcentral